GGGAUUGUGGCUCAGUGGUAGAGCGCUCACCUAGCACGUGCGAGGCCGUGGGUUUGAUCCUCAGCAUCACA
RNAcentral lists this transfer RNA (71 nucleotides) under Marmota monax (woodchuck). RNAcentral's name for it is "tRNA.Ala". The record is from RNAcentral. Lineage: Eukaryota; Metazoa; Chordata; Mammalia; Rodentia; Sciuridae.